GUACUACUGAAGAGUCCCAAAAUAGGUCGAGACAGCUUUCCAGUAC
RNAcentral lists this non-coding RNA (46 nucleotides) under Trichobilharzia regenti. Lineage: Eukaryota; Metazoa; Platyhelminthes; Trematoda; Strigeidida; Schistosomatidae. The record is from RNAcentral.